RNAcentral lists this ribosomal RNA (477 nucleotides) under Alternaria consortialis. Its description in RNAcentral is "eukaryotic LSU rRNA". The stretch from base 116 to 269 matches the Rfam family "5.8S ribosomal RNA". The record is from RNAcentral. Lineage: Eukaryota; Fungi; Ascomycota; Dothideomycetes; Pleosporales; Pleosporaceae.
AUUCACCCGUGUCUUUUGCGUACUUCUUGUUUCCUUGGUGGGUUCGCCCACCAUAGGACAAACCAUAAACCUUUUGUAAUUGCAAUCAGCGUCAGUAAAAAAAAUUAAUAAUUACAACUUUUAACACCGGAUCCCUGGGUUCUGGCAUCAAUGAAAAACGCACCGAAAGGCGAUAAGUAGGGUGAAUUGCAAAAUUCAGGGAAUCAUCGAAUCUUUGAACGCCCAUUGCCCCCUUGGGUAUCCCAAAGGGCAGGCCGGUCCGACCGUCAUUUGUCCCCUCAAGCUUUGCUGGGGGUUGGGCGCCUUGCCCCCAGUCCCCUGGAAACUCGCCUUAAGGUAAUUGGCAGCCGGCCUACGGGUUUCGGAGCGCAGCACAAGUCGCGCUCUCUUCCAGCCAAGGUCAGCAUCCACAAAGCCUUUUUUCAACUUUUGACCUCGAAUCAGGUAGGGAUACCCGCUAAACUUAAGCAUAUCUAA